Long non-coding RNA from Macadamia integrifolia, 1245 nucleotides. RefSeq lists it as uncharacterized. The record is from RefSeq and is a predicted model, not a curated record. The transcript is spliced from 3 exons. NCBI's taxonomy places the organism in Eukaryota, Viridiplantae, Streptophyta, Magnoliopsida, Proteales, Proteaceae.
GCUUAUGAGCGCCUAGGGGUUGGUAGACCAGAUGUUGUUCGCCUAUGUAGGCCUUUCCCCCGAGCUGUUAGAUGGAAAUGCCGGCGCAGAACUGACAACAUUCAUAAUUGCUAUAGACCGUAUCGGCAAGAGCUUGAUCAACUUAAGGAAUGCGAGUGAAUGCUGAUGGGUGUCUGAUGACUUAACUCCAAGAUAUGUCACCGGACUAUCACUUACAGCAGGGAGUAAGAAGUCAAUUCUUCAACAUGUUCAUUCUUUGGGUUCAACGGUAAAUUCUAACUAAUUCUGAAUUCAAAUAACUUCAUCCGUUUCCCCAUUUUAAGUAACUUUAAAUUCUAGUCAACAAAGUUGGAAAAUUAUGUUUUACAUGCGUAUGGAGAAUCCAAACUGUCAACGAUGCUGGUGGAUGGGAAGACUGAACCACUGUGGAGAACAUAUAUGGGACCUUGCAGUCAGGGCAAUUCUUAAGUGUUGGAAGUUCUUUAUUGUUUGGACUUAUCUGUAAAAAAUGGAGUUCCUAGCACCUUCAAGCCUUACAGAUUUCAGCAACACUGAUGGUCAUGUGGCUGCAAUCUUCAAGAAAACGGCUAAGGAGAUUAUAGUUUGUGAGGUCAGUGAAAAAGCCAACAACAAAUGCAAAAUUUGAAUUUGCCAAAUUCUUCUCAACAGAUGGCGAGAGACUAGAUCAUAACUUUCAAUCUUACUGUCUUUAUUGGCAUAUGCAUAUUCCACGACGUGUACACAUUCUUCUUCAUGAGAAAGGUAGUUGCUCUGUGGGUCACUUUUUUCUUCUACUGCCAGAUCGCCACAAGUGUUUUUUUGCAGAAGUUCAUCUCCCCAAGCCUACUUCCAUCUAUAUUCCUGUCGCAAUUAUAAUUCUCAAUGCCAUCUUGCAACCCAAGGUAAGGGGGAAAAAAAAGUGAUCGCAUCAUACAAAUGUAAGGUUGUUCAUUAAGAAAAAUGAAAUGUGGCAACCGAGAGGAAGGCUUCAGGAGGGGUGGUUAUAUGUGUGGAAUGUAAUGAAUUGCUACUCUUAUCACCCUGAAAGUCCACUUGUUAGGAAGGAAUGAAAGCCUUAUUGCACCCAUGGCACAGUAAGUACCAGGUACUAUGUUGAAGAUGUGUUGUCCUGCAACUCUUCUAUUGAUUUUGUUUGCCAUUCAAUUUUUUGAAUAAUCAACCCCUGUAACUCUUCAUCUAGUUGUUUCUGGAUACUUUUUGAGAAUGUAAUGUCACUCCAUCGAA